CCGCACCGUCAGCCGGCGGGCAGGUGCGAGCCUACAACGAGCACAGCUGGUAGGCUCCGUUGGACCUCUGUCAAUUCCGGUGAGAGCUGGCGCAUCAUUUUGGGAUUAGGAGUGAAUAGGGGAGCGAACGAGAGAGAGAGAGAGCUUCCAACUGAGCACGGGCUCUAGACCAGCAGCGACGGCGCAGCUAGAGCGCCGGUAGCCGGAGAGGAGCAGCGUGGCCCAACAGGUCCUCGAUGGGGUGGAAGCUGAGGAAGCAGGUACCCGCAACUUUGUUCAGCCCGCCGGGCAUGUGAGAGGUCGCGGUAGCAGAAGUAGUGCCUGGAGCAGCAGCAGGCGGCAGCUCAUGGUGAUGAAGCCAGUUGGUGGCCGGAGUGGCAGCGGAGGAAAUCUAUGCGCCUCGGUCUCCUAGAGCUCCUUCUAAGAUGUACCUCAAGCUGAAGCUCCUCAUCAAUCCUCCAGGGUACGUCCUCCGGAACGGAAAAGCUAGCAACGAUGAAAACACGAUCGGAAGAAUUCCGUUUGAACUAAUUGUAACACAGACAUGAAUCUAUAAUAACGAAGGCAACUGAGCACAGAAGCUGGUAAACAUAAGCUCGGAAGCUCCGGGGACCGAACAUUAUACUACGAACAUACUGAAUAAAAUAAACAUCUCAAUAC
RNAcentral lists this ribosomal RNA (660 nucleotides) under Triticum aestivum (bread wheat). Its description in RNAcentral is "partial small subunit ribosomal RNA". Lineage: Eukaryota; Viridiplantae; Streptophyta; Magnoliopsida; Poales; Poaceae. The record is from RNAcentral.